GAUGAACGCUGGCGGCGUGCCUAAUACAUGCAAGUCGAGCGAACGGACGAGAAGCUUGCUUCUCUGAUGUUAGCGGCGGACGGGUGAGUAACACGUGGAUAACCUACCUAUAAGACUGGGAUAACUUCGUGAAACCGGAGCUAAUACCGGAUAAUAUUUUGAACCGCAUGGUUCAAAAGUGAAAGACGGUCUUGCUGUCACUUAUAGAUGGAUCCGCGCUGCAUUAGCUAGUUGGUAAGGUAACGGCUUACCAAGGCAACGAUGCAUAGCCGACCUGAGAGGGUGAUAGGCCACACUGGAACUGAGACACGGUACAGACUCCUACGGGAGGCAGCAGUAGGGAAUCUUCCGCAAUGGGCGAAAGCAUGACGGAGCAACGCCGCGUGAGUGAUGAAGGGCUUCGGAUCGUAAAACUCUGUUAUUAGGGAAGAACAUAUGUGUAAGUAACUGUGCACAAAAUGACGGUACCUAAUCAGAAAGCCACGGCUAACUACGUG
Molecule: ribosomal RNA, 497 nt
Filed under: uncultured bacterium
Lineage: Bacteria
Description: partial 16S ribosomal RNA
Rfam family: Bacterial small subunit ribosomal RNA
Source: RNAcentral